This is a long non-coding RNA of Salvelinus fontinalis (brook trout), 1608 nucleotides long. RefSeq lists it as uncharacterized. The transcript is spliced from 3 exons. NCBI's taxonomy places the organism in Eukaryota, Metazoa, Chordata, Actinopteri, Salmoniformes, Salmonidae. The record is from RefSeq and is a predicted model, not a curated record.
AAAAAAAAAAUGCUAACCUUCGCUGUUAUUGUAAUGGUGAGAGGUUCGCAUGUUUUGGGGGUAUGAUAUUUGUGCGUCUAACUUUCUCACUCAUCAUUAACCAGACGGCAUAAAAGGUUAUCGAUGGUGCAUCCAUCCCUUGUCCAAUAAGGAACAAUCCCUUGUUUACUGCAGGUGGCAAGACACUGGCUAAUGAUACCUGGCAACUUCAAAACAGUCAUGUGGGGACGAAGAUAUCAUUCCAUUUAAAGAGUUGAUAGCAGAGUCUGGCCUGAAUGAUAUGACAUUUUUACUCUAUUUGCAGCUCAAAUCAAUAAAAAAAAAGUAUUUCCUCAAAGGGUAUUGGUGUGUGAUGGACAACAAACUGAGGGGUGCUGCUAAUGGGAAAGGAACGGUUUACACCUUAUACAAGCUGGUUGGCCUCCUCCCCAAACAGCAACAUUUCUACAAGACUUGGUUGUGUCUCUCACUGCAGCACAGUGGGAUGUGAAAUACACAAAGGAAGGCCAAUGCAGUGAUGCUAUCAGUCAAAUGGACAGUACUUAUAAAUUGCAAAGUGCGUAACAGCAGUGCUUCAGCAUGGACAUUUGGUUAAGGCAAUUCAUGGACUUAUUGACAAUGGAACGAACGGUCGGUCGGUCCUCCAGGGCUAUGCCAAUGGACUAUAGCAGGGGUAGGCAGCCCUGUUCCUGGAGUGCCGCAGGGAUUCUGUUCCAACUAGGCACCACAUCUAAUCAACUGAGCUAAUUGAUCAGUGAUUGCCUAAAUUCAACACACCUGGUCUUCCAGUUGACUGGACCUGGUUCUUUUAGAACUGUUUCCUGAACUGAACAAGCAGGGACAGCAGGAGACUGCUACUAACAUGGCUCCAUGGACGUGGCAAGAGGAUUGUCUGGCUUUAGUCUCUGCUUCAUCUGCUGCAUGUUGUUGGAAUGAACUGUAUAUACAGCACUUAAACCACUCAUACCGCUGCCCUUGUGAUCAUUUUUACUGAUUCAUAAAACAAUAAUACUGAAAAAAUUGAUGUGACUGAACAUGAUUGUGAUGAGAAAAGAAACAUGUCUGAAGACUCAAUCAAACUUGGUCGCUGCUUUUGUAAACCUCCCCACAUCGUUUCUUGUCUGGCCUUGUCACACCCUGAUCUGGUUCACCUGUCCUUGUGAUUGUCUUCACCCCCUCCUGGUGUCGCUUAUUAUCCCCGGUGUAUAUAUCCCUGUGUCUCUCUGUGCCAGUUCAUCUUGUUUGCCAAGUCAACCAGCGGUUUUCCUUGCUCCUAUUUUUCCCAGUCUCUGUUUGUUUCUAGUCCUCCUGGUUUCAACCCUUGCCUGUACUGACUCCGAACCCGCCUGCCUGACCACUCUGCCUGUUCUGACCAACAGCCUUCCUUGGACUCGGAUCUGGUUUCUGACCCCUGCCUGGCCUGACCUUGAGACUGCCUAUCCCCUGGUACUGUUUGGACUCUGACCUGGUUUCUGACCCCUGCCUGGCCUGACCUUGAGACUGCCUAUCCCCUGGUACUGUUUGGACUCUGACCUAGUUUAUGAACUCUCACCUGUCCCAAACCUGCCUUUGCCUACUCCCUUUGUUAUAAUAAAUAUUGGAGCUCUA